GAUGAACGCUGGCGGCGUGCCUAACACAUGCAAGUCGAACGAAGCUUGACGGAUGAUUUCUUCGGAAUGAAACCAGAUAUGACUUAGUGGCGGACGGGUGAGUAACACGUGAGCAACCUGCCUUUCAGAGGGGGAUAACGGCUGGAAACGGUCGCUAAUACCGCAUGAUGUGUUCGGAUGGCAUCAUCUGAACAUCAAAGAUUUAUCGCUGAAAGAUGGGCUCGCGUCUGAUUAGAUAGUUGGUGGGGUAACGGCCUACCAAGUCUACGAUCAGUAGCCGGACUGAGAGGUUGAACGGCCACAUUGGGACUGAGAUACGGCCCAGACUCCUACGGGAGGCAGCAGUGGGGAAUAUUGCACAAUGGGGGAAACCCUGAUGCAGCAACGCCGCGUGAAGGAUGACGGUUUUCGGAUUGUAAACUUCUUUUCUUGGUGACGAAGACAGUGACGGUAGCUAAGGAAUAAGCAUCGGCUAACUACGUG
Molecule: ribosomal RNA, 483 nt
Filed under: uncultured bacterium
Lineage: Bacteria
Description: partial 16S ribosomal RNA
Rfam family: Bacterial small subunit ribosomal RNA
Source: RNAcentral